UUAAAGUAGUGCUCUUUGCUACCAUUAACUCAGUGCAUAAUCUCUCUCUUCCUCUCUAGGCUCUCAAAAGCUCUCUCUCACUCUACUGUGUGAGUGUGUGUUUUCUUUUGCAUGCAGUGGAAAACAAAGUUAUUUGAGUAAAAAAGCUGGGUCGAAUAUAGAGAGAAUAUCGGUCUGGCCGGAAUACGGGUGGUGCUGAGUCGAAUCGGUGGCAGGAAGCCGCGACAGAAGGUGAAGAUAAAGGCGAUGGAGUGGUGGCAUAAAAUGGUCUUCCCUGUUAGAAGAGUUUGGUUCGCUGUUUCUGCACGAGCUAAGGCUCGCAAAACUGGUGCCGGGCUUUUGAAACUUCAUGACGACAUCCAAACUUGUGGAUACGAGGAUGUGCAGAUAAUGUGGGACAUUUUGAGACGAAUAGAAUCACAACCGUUGCCUCGCCAUUCUAAACGCAAGUAUCGAUUGUUCUGAAAACAAGCCAUAUGAUGCGACCAUGGUUUGGCUCAAUCCUUCACUACAAAUCAUAAUCAUCCUGCAACAAACAAGGGUGUCAUGUUACUCUCACAACCCUAGUCUGAUUUUUACAUAAUCUGAUACAAAAAGACACAAAUAUGUGAUCAAAUCAUUGUAAAUAUAUCGUGUUUCCAGACGAUCCCUCGUUGAGUUUUACUUCGAUAUACAAGUAAGGAUGGCAGACUUCACUUGCUUUGUAGUACUCGUAAUCUUGUACUACGAAACAAACAUAUCUAGGGAAAAUUUUGAAGGUUUUUGACAACACAAUUAUGCAGUGUGUGUACCAUUUUUCCACUCUUAGUCCCUCUAGCACUCAACAGCAUUGUACUGGGGUCCAAAGGAGAUUGUUCGUUCGAUGUUUAGUUCUCCCCGCCGCGCCCUAUUUUAUUUUUGAUAUAAGAAAGACAAUAAACUCUGGCUCUAUAA
This is a long non-coding RNA of Olea europaea var. sylvestris, 933 nucleotides long. RefSeq lists it as uncharacterized. The record is from RefSeq and is a predicted model, not a curated record. NCBI's taxonomy places the organism in Eukaryota, Viridiplantae, Streptophyta, Magnoliopsida, Lamiales, Oleaceae. The transcript has 2 exons.